AUGUAAUGGAUGUGCUGGUCUUGACCUCUCAAUCCUCCUUUCAAUGAUGAUAUUCUUAUUGUCAUUCGCUGGGUGGGGGCCUGACGGCUCGAGGGGAAAGGAAAUAAAAGCUCGUUAGGGUGUGCACUCCAAAUCCAAAUCUUUUAUACCUUGUGCAUCAAUGCCUACUGAGUAAGAAAAGAAUGUCAAAAUGAUAUUUUUGAUUGUUCAUGUAGGAUUUUUUAUAACAAUAAUGUAAAAGAAUGUUAUGUUAGCUUAAAAAGCAAAAUGUAAUA
This 275-nucleotide unclassified non-coding RNA is filed under the name Camarophyllopsis deceptiva. Its description in RNAcentral is "internal transcribe spacer 1". Lineage: Eukaryota; Fungi; Basidiomycota; Agaricomycetes; Agaricales; Clavariaceae. The record is from RNAcentral.